AGAUUAUAACUCAAUGAUUUGAAUAAUAAAUAAUCUUUUUCAUUGUGUAGCCAGUGAGAAAAUGUCCUUCCUGAGCUACUGUAGGUUCAGGCAGGCCUUGGAACCUCCUACUUCCUGGUUCACCCAUUAGAAAGGGUAUAAAGCUGCCCAUAUUGAAGCUGCUUUUGGCAUGCUUGUCCCUUUCUAUGUUGGAGAGUGGCUGGAGAAGCCAGUGAGCUGCUCGUCAGGGAGGCCCAAACCAUGUGUGAGCCAUACCAGGUGGAGGAGCCUCAAAGAAACUCCAGGCUGGCAUUGGAAGCCAUUGCUGUUUUGUGUUGCUUGUUCACUUCUGGUCUAGUUUCUUCAUGUUGGUAAUAUUAGUUAGUUUGCAGAUGAUUACUUUUGACUGCUAUGGCUGGUUCUACACCUGCAGGAUCAAGAUGACCAAUGGAAAAGCUAAAACUUCCAAGGUUUGGAAAUUCGGGUUGGUUCAAUAUGCGUUGGGCAAGAAACCUGGUGGAGACCGUGGUGCCAUGAAAGCAAACAAAAGGACGGUCCAGAGAAGAAAACAGGCUCCUGCCUUGAGGAUCCCCAGAAGUGGUCGAGCAGUUUCAGCCUCCUGUGACGGUGGAAAUUACCAGCAGUCUUUAGUGAUUUGAGUGAACGGUAAGACGUUUUUCCAGUAUGGUUUUUGAUGUGUAAUGCUUGUCAUGCAGGCUGUGUGACUGGUCUAAUAAUACAUUCUUUUUCAAACUGUCAAGAGCCUGACUGUUGCAUAAUGUGUUAACUAUCUUCUAAAAUAUGGUUGGAUUUCCUGAACUAUACCACCCUCUUUAGCUGCUUCAUUUGAAUUUGGCAGCUU
Non-coding RNA from Gasterosteus aculeatus aculeatus (three-spined stickleback), 841 nucleotides. The record is from RefSeq and is a predicted model, not a curated record. NCBI's taxonomy places the organism in Eukaryota, Metazoa, Chordata, Actinopteri, Perciformes, Gasterosteidae.